GUGGGUCUGGCGGUGAGGGGCCGGUAGGUCUGGCGGUGAGGUUGUGGUAGGUCUGGCGGUGAGGGGCCGGCCGGUAGGUCUGGCGGUGAAGGAGUGGUAGGUCUGGCGGUGAGGGGCCGGUAGGUCUGGCGGUGAGGGAGUGGUAGGUCUGGCGGUGAGGGGCCGGUAGGUCUGGCGGUGAGGGAGUGGUAGGUCUGGCGGUGAGAGGCCGGUAGGUCUGGCGGUGAGGGAGUGGUAGGUCUGGCGGUGAGAGGCCGGUAGGUCUGACGGUGUGGGGCCGGUAGGUCUGGCGGUGUGGGGCCGGUAGGUCUGGCGGUGUGGGGCCGGUAGGUCUGGCGGUGUGGGGCCGGUAGGUCUGGCGGUGUGGGGCCGGUAGGUCUGGCGGUGAGGGAGUGGUAGGUCUGGCAGUGAGGGAGUGGUAGGUCUGGCGGUGAGGGGCCGGCCGGUAGGUCUGGCGGUGAAGGAGUGGUAGGUCUGGCGGUGAGGGAGUGGUAGGUCUGGCGGUGAGGGGCCGGUAGGUCUGGCGGUGAGGGAGUGGUAGGUCUGGCGGUGAGAGGCCGGUAGGUCUGACGGUGAGGGAGUGGUAGGUCUGGUGGUGAGAGGCCGGUAGGUCUGACGGUGUGGGGCCGGUAGGUCUGGCGGUGUGGGGCCGGUAGGUCUGGCGGUGUGGGGCCGGUAGGUCUGUCGGUCAGGGGCCGGUGUCGACCUUAUCAUAUUUAAAUAAAAGUGAUUUUAAAAAUUCUCAAUUUACAAUUACAUUCAGCAUCAUUAUGUUUGAUUGGUGAGAGGUAGGAUUGUAUGAUUGAUUGAAUCAAAUGGUGGAUGAUAUAGGUUCUCAGAACUGUAAUGAAUGACUAUAAUGAUAGGAUUGAACUGUAAUGACUAUAAUAAUAGGAUUGAACUGUAAUGACUAUAAUAAUAGGAUUGAACUGUAAUGACUAUAAUAAUAGGAUUGAACUGUAAUGACUAUAAUAAUAGGAUUGAACUGUAAUGACUAUAAUAAUAGGAUUGAACUGUAAUGAAUGACUAUAAUAAUAGGAUUGAACUGUAAUGACUAUAAUAAUAGGAUUGAACUGUAAUGACUAUAAUAAUAGGAUUGAACUGUAAUGACUAUAUAAUAAUAAGAUUGAACUGUAAUGACUAUAAUAAUAGGAUUGAACUGUAAUGACUAUAAUAAUAGGAUUGAACUGUAAUGACUAUAAUAAUAGGAUUGAACUGUAAUGACUAUAAUAAUAGGAUUGAACUGUAAUGACUAUAAUAAUAGGAUUGAACUGUAAUGACUAUAAUAAUAGGAUUGAACUGUAAUGACUAUAAUAAUAGGAUUGAACUGUAAUGACUUUAAUAAUAGGAUUGAACUGUAAUGACUAUAAUAAUAGGAUUGAACUGUAAUGACUAUAAUAAUAGGAUUGAACUGUAAUGACUAUAAUAAUAGGAUUGAACUGUAAUGACUAUAAUAAUAGGAUUGAACUGUAAUGACUAUAAUAAUAGGAUUGAACUGUAAUGACUAUAAUAAUAGGAUUGAACUGUAAUGACUAUAAUAAUAGGAUUGAACUGUAAUGACUAUAAUAAUAGGAUUGAACUGUAAUGAAUGACUAUAAUAAUAGGAUUGAACUGUAAUGACUAUAAUAAUAGGAUUGAACUGUAAUGACUAUAAUAAUAGGAUUGAACUGUAAUGACUAUAAUAAUAGGAUUGAACUGUAAUGACUAUAAUAAUAGGAUUGAACUGUAAUGACUUUAAUAAUAGGAUUGAACUGUAAUGACUAUAAUAAUAGGAUUGAACUGUAAUGACUAUAAUAAUAGGAUUGAACUGUAAUGACUAUAAUAAUAGGAUUGAACUGUAAUGACUAUAAUAAUAGGAUUGAACUGUAAUGACUAUAAUGAUAGGAUUGAACUGUAAUGACUAUAAUGAUAGGAUUGAACUGUAAUGACUAUAAUAAUAGGAUUGAACUGUAAUGACUAUAAUAAUAGGAUUGAACUGUAAUGACUAUAAUAAUAGGAUUGAACUGUAAUGACUAUAAUAAUAGGAUUGAACUGUAAUGACUAUAAUAAUAGGAUUGAACUGUAAUGACUAUAAUAAUAGGAUGAACUGUAAUGACUAUAAUAAUAGGAUUGAACUGUAAUGACUAUAAUAAUAGGGUUGAACUGUAAUGACUAUAAUAAUAGGAUUGAACUGUAAUGACUAUAAUAAUAGGGUUGAACUGUAAUGACUAUAAUAAUAGGAUUGAACUGUAAUGACUAUAAUAAUAGGAUUGAACUGUAAUGACUAUUAUAAUAUUAUUAUGGAGACCAGAUUCAUUUCCAAAUCGUUGUUAUUUUUCCAUCACUUUACUGAAUAAGAAGUUACUUUCUGUCCAGCUCUUUCUUGAUCCAGCGUAUCCAUUUCCUUUCAUGUGAUGGUAAAUGAUGUUUGGUUGGACAGUUAAUUGAUUGAUCCUAAUAAAAACAAAAAAUAGACAACACUUUUCAACUAACUUCCCGAUUCACUGAAUGACUACUGAAGAGUGUCUGGCUGGUGUCAACGUUUGCUUUAUAGUUUUCUAUUGAAUAUCAAGGUAUUUGUUAUCAUUGACAUGUGUCGUGUCUCUGUCUCU
Oncorhynchus keta (chum salmon) is the source of this 2591-nucleotide long non-coding RNA. RefSeq lists it as uncharacterized. The record is from RefSeq and is a predicted model, not a curated record. The transcript has 4 exons. NCBI's taxonomy places the organism in Eukaryota, Metazoa, Chordata, Actinopteri, Salmoniformes, Salmonidae.